CCUACGGGAGGCUGCAGUGAGGAAUAUUGGUCAAUGGACGAGAGUCUGAACCAGCCAAGUAGCGUGAAGGAUGACUGCCCUAUGGGUUGUAAACUUCUUGUAUAAAGGAAUAAAACGAGGCACGUGUGCCUUUUUGCAUGUACUUUAUGAAUAAGGAUAGGCUAACUCCGUGCCAGCAGCCGCGGUAAUACGGAGGAUCCGAGCGUUAUCCGGAUUUAUUGGGUUUAAAGGGAGCGUAGAGGGGUUGUUAAGUCCGUUGUGAAAGUUUGCGGCUCAACCGUAAAAUUGCCAUUGAUACUGGCAGUCUUGCGUACAGUUGAGUUAGGCGGACUUCGUGUUGUAGCGGU
Molecule: ribosomal RNA, 347 nt
Filed under: uncultured bacterium
Lineage: Bacteria
Description: partial 16S ribosomal RNA
Rfam family: Bacterial small subunit ribosomal RNA
Source: RNAcentral